CCUACGGGAGGCAGCAGUGAGGAAUAUUGGUCAAUGGGCGAGAGCCUGAACCAGCCAAGUCGCGUGAGGGAAGACUGUCCUAUGGAUUGUAAACCUCUUUUGUCUGGGCACAAAACGCGGUACGUGUACCGCAUCGAGAGUACCCGGAGAAAAAGCAUCGGCUAACUCCGUGCCAGCAGCCGCGGUAAUACGGAGGAUGCGAGCGUUAUCCGGAUUUAUUGGGUUUAAAGGGUGCGCAGGGGGCGAGUUACGUCGGCGGGAAAAUUUCGGGGCUAAACGCCGACGAGCCGUUGAAAAUGGCUUGCUAGAGUGGGCGAGAAGUAUGCGGAAUGCGUGGUGUAGCGGUGAAAUGCAUAGAUAUCACGCAGAACUCCGAUUGCGAAGGCAGCAUACCGGCGCCCAACUGACGCUCAGGCACGAAAGCGUGGGUAUCGAACAGGAUUAGAUACCCUUGUAGUC
RNAcentral lists this ribosomal RNA (459 nucleotides) under uncultured bacterium. RNAcentral's name for it is "partial 16S ribosomal RNA". It matches the Rfam family "Bacterial small subunit ribosomal RNA", at positions 338 to 795 of the family's 1533-position model. The record is from RNAcentral.